GGCAAGCCCAUGAAGUCCUAGCAACAAGGCAAAGGCUGAAUUUGCUCCAGACACCUAUGGAUUUGCCGUCGGUAAAUCAGGGUAACUCUGAUCUCUUCCACUGCUAACACAGACAGUUGUGAAUCUCCUGCCUCUAAAAUUACGCUCCACAAGACAAACUCAUCCACUCCUCCGUCUUCUCAUCCCCAAGGCCUAAGACAUCUCUGACCUUAUCUCCAAAUACAGUCACCUUCCAAGAUACUGAGGAUUAAGACAUCAACAUAUGGAUUUAAGGGGACACAAUUCAACCCCUUGCAAAGAGCUACAGAUAUCUUUAUUCUACUACUCAUAAAAUGUCUUAGGAAUACAAUAGCCAUUAGAACAUUAACUGGUUGCAAAAGGUUGAAUUGCUGAAGAAACCAGCUGUUUUUCAGAAAGAGAAAAAGCUUUCAUGCAGCAUUCUUCAUUUAGAAGUGGAAUCUCCCUCUGUCAACCAGGCUGGAGUGCAUUGGCUUGAUGUCAGAUCUUGGAUCACCGCAGCCUCCGUCUCCUGGGUUCAAGUGAUUCUCCCGCCUCAGCCUCUCGAGCAGCUGGGACUACAGGAAGGCACCACCAUGCCUGGCUAAUUAUAAGUCUUUUGACUCACUCUUGUUCGUCCUACUUUCUUUUGCUUUUAUAUUCCAGUCAAACCAAAUUUCUCAUGGCUUUACGCAACUUUGACUUUAUAAGUUCUGCCCUACCAGCCUCUUGGACUUACCUUCUCUAUUUUUAACUGCCUAGUUCUUAUUAAAGACUGAAGUAAAGCACCUGCUUUCUGUGAAGCAUUUCUUCCAACUCCCUCACACAACAUGAAUUGCUCUCUGCUUUGUCUUCUAACAGUCUUUCAGUGCUACC
Molecule: long non-coding RNA, 873 nt
Filed under: Homo sapiens (human)
Lineage: Eukaryota; Metazoa; Chordata; Mammalia; Primates; Hominidae
Description: HSALNT0308713
Source: RNAcentral